Cuculus canorus (common cuckoo) is the source of this 519-nucleotide non-coding RNA. The record is from the annotation of a RefSeq genome assembly. Lineage: Eukaryota; Metazoa; Chordata; Aves; Cuculiformes; Cuculidae.
UCUCUGGGUAGCCACAAAAGGCAGAUCCCUGAAAGGACAGGAGCUUUUUCCUCAUGGUUCCCUGCUGGCUCUUCGUGGCCACACUGGCUCCUGUGGUGUUGGCUCUGGAACAGUCUCCGGACACAGUGGUACAGCAAGGCCAGUCCGUGAAUCUGGGCUGUUUCAAGAUGAAAUCCUCCAGCACGGCUUUGUACUGGUACAAGCUGCCUUUAGGGAAGGAUUCCAGGCUGAUCUCUGUGGCUUCUGCAUUCGAAGGUGGUAAAUCAAAUGUUGAAGCGGAUUUCCAACAUGUCAAAAGCAGUGAAAUAAAAGAAGGCAGGAUGACCCUCUUGAUAGAGCAUGCCUUUCUCAAUGACUCUGGAAUCUAUUACUGUGCUGAGAGUGAAGCACAGUGGCCAGGCUGCUGAGGCAGCUGAGCGCAAACCGCCUCCUGCACAAAAGGGACCUGCUUUCCUCCCUGUCGGUGCUGCACAAGGCAGGAUGAUCCCUUUCUACUCAUUACCUCUUCUGCUUCCUAGC